RNAcentral lists this non-coding RNA (29 nucleotides) under Homo sapiens (human). Lineage: Eukaryota; Metazoa; Chordata; Mammalia; Primates; Hominidae. The record is from RNAcentral.
UCAGCUUUGAGGAUGGAUAAGAGUGAUGU